UGGUUGUCGAUGCUAACGUGAAGGACGAGUGGCGUCGUGCUUGAUCGAUCCAGCUUUUCUAUAAAAUUAACGUGUUUCUGAUGUUGUGCACAUUGAGUUCUUUUCAAAGCUGACGUGCCAGAUAAAUCCAGCUUUUCUAUAAAAUCACUGGUGAGUGACAUUACCAAACAUCGUAAAACAACGGCUCUUGAGGGAUUGCUACUUUUCCUGCUUGAGAAGUCAGCAAAUUUGCUCAAGAUAUGCCUGGAUACGAAUUCUGUGAACUGCUGCACCAAAGGUGUAAAGAUUGGAAUUCUGACUGUGGAGGAAGAUGAUGUUGCCGGUGUUACAUCGCAGCCCACUGUUAUCAACAUGGCCAUAAUCUUGGAGGAGGCCAUUGUGCUUGAGGACAUUAAAGAUCUUCCAUCUGCAUUUGCAUAUUUGUUUGGCCUCUUAUAUGCAUUUAACAUGGAAUAUCUGAAAGAAUUGAAGUACACUUUUGAAGUCAUCAUGGAUCUAGGUGGUACCUGCUCAGCUAGAGUGCAGUCAUUGAAAUCCAAACUUUGCUAAAUGGAUGAAGCCACUUAAAUGACGUUCUUGCGUUGGCUUUUUU
This is a long non-coding RNA of Onychostoma macrolepis, 592 nucleotides long. RefSeq lists it as uncharacterized. The transcript is spliced from 4 exons. The record is from RefSeq and is a predicted model, not a curated record. Lineage: Eukaryota; Metazoa; Chordata; Actinopteri; Cypriniformes; Cyprinidae.